This 497-nucleotide ribosomal RNA is filed under the name uncultured bacterium. RNAcentral describes it as "partial 16S ribosomal RNA". It matches the Rfam family "Bacterial small subunit ribosomal RNA", at positions 28 to 507 of the family's 1533-position model. The record is from RNAcentral.
GACGAACGCUGGCGGCGUGCCUAAUACAUGCAAGUUGAGCGCUGAAGGUUGGUACUUGUACCAACUGGAUGAGCAGCGAACGGGUGAGUAACGCGUGGGGAAUCUGCCUUUGGGCGGGGGACAACAUUUGGAAACGAAUGCUAAUACCGCAUAAAAACUUUAAACACAAGUUUUAAGUUUGAAAGAUGCAAUUGCAUCACUCAAAGAUGAUCCCGCGUUGUAUUAGCUAGUUGGUGAGGUAAAGGCUCACCAAGGCGAUGAUACAUAGCCGACCUGAGAGGGGGAUCGGCCACAGUGGGACUGAGACACGGCCCAAACUCCUACGGGAGGCAGCAGUAGGGAAUCUUCGGCAAUGGACGAAAGUCUGACCGAGCAACGCCGCGUGAGUGAAGAAGGUUUUCGGAUCGUAAAACUCUGUUGGUAGAGAAGAACGUUGGUGAGAGUGGAAAGCUCAUCAAGUGACGGUAACUACCCAGAAAGGGACGGCUAACUACGUG